AGAGUUUGAUCCUGGCUCAGGACGAACGCUGGCGGCGUGCUUAACACAUGCAAGUCGAACGGAAAGGCCCUUCGGGGUACUCGAGUGGCGAACGGGUGAGUAACACGUGGGUGAUCUGCCCUGCACUUUGGGAUAAGCCUGGGAAACUGGGUCUAAUACCGAAUAUGACCAUGCACUUCCUGGUGUGUGGUGGAAAGCUUUUGCGGUGUGGGAUGGGCCCGCGGCCUAUCAGCUUGUUGGUGGGGUAAUGGCCUACCAAGGCGACGACGGGUAGCCGGCCUGAGAGGGUGACCGGCCACACUGGGACUGAGAUACGGCCCAGACUCCUACGGGAGGCAGCAGUGGGGAAUAUUGCACAAUGGGCGCAAGCCUGAUGCAGCGACGCCGCGUGAGGGAAGACGGCCUUCGGGUUGUAAACCUCUUUCAGCACAGACGAAGCGCAAGUGACGGUAUGUGCAGAAGAAGGACCGGCCAACUACGUGCCAGCAGCCGCGGUAAUACGUAGGGUCCGAGCGUUGUCCGGAAUUACUGGGCGUAAAGAGCUCGUAGGUGGUUUGUCGCGUUGUUCGUGAAAACUCACAGCUUAACUGUGGGCGUGCGGGCGAUACGGGCAGACUUGAGUACUGCAGGGGAGACUGGAAUUCCUGGUGUAGCGGUGGAAUGCGCAGAUAUCAGGAGGAACACCGGUGGCGAAGGCGGGUCUCUGGGCAGUAACUGACGCUGAGGAGCGAAAGCGUGGGGAGCGAACAGGAUUAGAUACCCUGGUAGUCC
Molecule: ribosomal RNA, 771 nt
Filed under: uncultured bacterium
Lineage: Bacteria
Description: bacterial SSU rRNA
Rfam family: Bacterial small subunit ribosomal RNA
Source: RNAcentral